Cephus cinctus (wheat stem sawfly) is the source of this 2761-nucleotide long non-coding RNA. RefSeq lists it as uncharacterized. The transcript is spliced from 10 exons. The record is from RefSeq and is a predicted model, not a curated record. NCBI's taxonomy places the organism in Eukaryota, Metazoa, Arthropoda, Insecta, Hymenoptera, Cephidae.
ACCGCAAUCCACUUCCUUCGAUACCUUUUUAAUAGAAAUUCUCACUCUGUUCGUUUGAACGAAUUUCUUUUCUUUAAUAUUCCACCUCGGUUUUCUUUACACGUUGCAUUUCGUGUCGCAGGAGUAUUCUAACCGCGAAAUAACAGUGUUGUCAUAACGAGGAGUGCUGCAGUCAAAACACACGGAUUAUACAAAAGUGUUCGAUGAGUUAAACACAGGAAAAUAAAUGUGCUCAUCUCGUUAAAAAACGUUCUCUUAGAAAAUUAUUGGUUGUUUUCGCGUACGCCCACAGUAUCUAUAGACAUGUAUUCCUGUGCAUUUUAUCAGGGCUACCAAUUUUGCUGGACGACAUUUCCUGCUGUUCUGUUUCUUUGCAAGUACAUUGAAAUAGAUGCUCGGACAUAUGAUAUGCGGUGCAUACGGACAUAGCGAAUAUAGUCUAGUGUUUGUGAAAGUUUCAAGAUAUCAAGUAUGUACAUACACUGCCUGAGUAUGCAGACCCUUACUUUACUUUCUCGCACUGACAAAAUACCAUCGGCUCUCAUCGUAAAAAGUUAAGCUACUUUUUAAUGAGAAACAUGACAGAUAUCGUCACGGCAUAAUUGUCCCAUGUCGUUUCAUAAAGAGUCAAGGGCCGACAAUUUGUAAGGCGAAAGCUAUUUAUAUACAUAUAUACAAUAUAUACGCACACAGAUCUCUCACUACGCACUACUUUCCUCCCACAAGUGUACAAGGUGUAUCAACCUAACCUAUAAACUCCAUGAUUGAUCAUACCUGGCCACAUCCUACUCUGAAGAUGAACGGAGAAUCAAUUACCUGAGCUAAGAGGCUAAAAGCUAAACAAACCAACCGUGAUAACAUCUCAUCUCAUCUUACCACCAGCCACCCAAGAAAUUCGGCUAAAGUCUAACGUUUCUUAAUGAUACGUGUGAAACAAGGGAAUCAAAUAGAAAAAAAUAGUAUACUGAGAAUCUUUGGAUACUUCUUCCAGGAAAUUUCAGUCCUGUGGUUUUUAGACGGCAGGAAAUGAUCCAGAAACAGGAAAACCUAAAGGCCAGAACGCAACUUCGAAGACGCGGGAGAUAAGAAAAUAGAAGUAAGUCAAAGUACCUCGAUGUAACAGGCGGCUACCGUCUACGUGGGCCUUAAUGAAGGAGAACAGAGGGCGUGCUCGGGUGCACCGGCCACCGAGCAAUGUAUCGAAACCCGUAAUUAUGAGGCCGACUACAGAUCCGAUCCAUAAUGGCUAUUAACAGGUACCUUUUGGCGACAGCGUUCGAAUGCAGUAAAAACACCUGGGUCCUACACUUGGGCCCUAUACCUUGCAAGACGACAUCUGGCCCACGCAUCUGUAUGAGAACGUGCAUAUGGAUAUAGACACCCGGUACACGAGGUAUUAAGUAUUACUUCACUGAUGGGCACACGUGAGACCCAUUGGGACUGUUGAAAGGCGGUAACGAGCUGCUAGCAUAAGUUUUUCCCAUAUAAAUUGAACGUACACCUAAUGGCGGAUAUAUAAUCGGCGACCGUUUGCCUUAUGGGAUGAUAUCCUGGCGUCAAGUAUCGCACACAAUAAGAAAAGAGAGAGAGACAGAGACUAAGAAAUGAAUACAAAAGAUCUUCUGGGUGUCGCAGCGUUUUGUACCGUAAAACAUGUCGUUAGGAACAGCCGUAAUGUGCGUUCGGGCGCAAUUAGCUGUGGCUACUUGCAAAUGCAAUUUCAUUUGUAAAUUUCACGGAUCUCGGCGCCAUUACGUUGACAGGGCGAAUGAGGAUGGCCGUCAGUUCUCAUCGCAAACUGUUUAUCACUCCUGUGGCUACUUUGUAAUUAACGUCUUCGGGCCUCUCCCCUUUCCUCGUUAGUUUCCUAUUGUUAUCAGAUAGCCAAUGGAUUUCUAGGAACGGCUGGUCGAGCUAGCAUUCCAAUGAAUGUACUUAAAGGAGUACGUGCACUUUAUGGAUGGCUUUUGAAUAAAUACACGUUCUAGAUACGCGUAUCAGGACGUAACAGAAGCGUACGCUUAGCAAUAAGAAGAAUCGAAGAAGAGAAAAAAGUACAAUUGCCUUGGCACGUUCGGCUCCGGAAAAGAACGUUAAAGUAGCUUGAUGAUUUUUAAUGUUUGCUUAGGUCGCUGUCGUGACUUCUUGGAGCAUAGAUAUAUAUUGUACUUAUGAGUUUUCUCUGUGGCUUCACUGAAACCCGACUUGCCUUGGAAAUUGAGGAUCGUACGAUCAUCUUGUCUUCGGGGAGGUUAAUGACGGCAAUGGACGUAGGACGCAGGACGCAAGAACCGGGACCGGAAACCGUGGCAACUAAUUUCACGAUAUAAAAAAGAGGGCCGGCUCUUGGAGCACCUAAGAAGACAAAGGACAGCCGGUUUUAUAUUCCUGGACUAAUCUACCUGUGUAUUACAUACAGGCGAGAAGGAAAUGAUGCUUUAUUUAAUUUUGCUUAAAGAAAAUCGUUUCUUUUUUUCUCUUCGUACUCUCGUGAGACAUGGGGUUUUCAGAGGAUGAAAAAUUGAAUUAAAUUUUCUUGAGACUGUUGAAGGUUUCAUUGCGCAAGAAAAUCAUGUGUGUACUCAAGCUGACGGAUGGCACUAAAUGCUACGAUAAUUUAACGGCGGUUGAGUACGCCUUGGAUCAAUAGAAACGAUUCGAUCGAGUGACUGCACGGUCUCUCGUUCCCUCUGCGUGUAUAAAAGUCUCGAGUGAAAGGAAGACAGACAGAGAAAAAGAGGGUGAGAGAGAGAGAGAGAGA